Molecule: non-coding RNA, 71 nt
Organism: Strongylocentrotus purpuratus (purple sea urchin)
Lineage: Eukaryota; Metazoa; Echinodermata; Echinoidea; Camarodonta; Strongylocentrotidae
Source: Rfam
GCAUUGUUGGUUCAGUGGUAGAAUUCUCGCCUGCCACGCGGGUGACCCGGGUUCGAUUCCCGGACAAUGCA